Sus scrofa (pig) is the source of this 197-nucleotide non-coding RNA. Lineage: Eukaryota; Metazoa; Chordata; Mammalia; Artiodactyla; Suidae. The record is from RefSeq and is a predicted model, not a curated record.
UUUUCAUUUUAUUUUACAGAUGAACAUCAGAAAAAGGAUGAUGUUCCUGAAAAAAUAUUUGAAAUUCAAGAAAGAAAUGGUACGUACUCUAAAAAUCAUUAUUCACCAACCUCUUUAACAUAACAGACUCCUUGAUGUCUUAACAUUCCCAGAUUCUUAAUUUCUGUGCUUUUGCUGGUAUUUCCCUUCCCUUGAAU